Molecule: long non-coding RNA, 1411 nt
Filed under: Helianthus annuus (common sunflower)
Lineage: Eukaryota; Viridiplantae; Streptophyta; Magnoliopsida; Asterales; Asteraceae
Source: RNAcentral
GGAAACCUAAUAGACGUCCCUAAUAAUCAAACGGAAGAGUGAAUGUGUUCCGUCUCUUCACCUUCAUCAUCCUUGCCGUUUUCCCUCCUCUCCCUUUAUCGCCAUCAUUUGUGAAUGUCAAGCACACAAAACGUCCAAUUUCAUUCGAUUUUACAAGCAUUUUGAAGCGAAGCAGAUUCACCACUUCAAUCCAGUGGACUCUCAAUUUGCCAAGAAAGGCAAUUAACAAAGGGAUUGGUAUAGAUAAUAUGCAUUACUUUGACGAUGGCCUCUAGACAUAUAAAACUAUAAUGGAAGUUUAAAGAUAAUGAUGUUCCUCAAUGUGCAUAAUGAAACUCUCGGUAUCUAUUUUGAUGAAAAAUAGUGGGGCGAUGAUGAGAAGGUUUUUGUGCGUGAUGAUGAGAAUUUGAACGAAAAGUAUGAGAAUGAGGUUUCAGAUGUUGAUGGUGGUUAUAAAAUUGGUGCUUAUAAGAAUAAUGAUGGACAAAGGAGGAGGGAGGAUGUAAAUUAUAGGGAUUACGGGAGUGAAAUGUUGGUGGAUCAGUGACUGUUGCAAAGGAUGUUAAAAGUUAUCAUUAUCCACUGAGACCUGAUGCUGAGAUUGUUCAUACUACAUAUACUACAUGAGGACCGGGAUAUGUAAAUAUGGAUCAAGCAGCAAGUUUAAUUAUCCUCUAAGAACUACCAUCAUCAAAUAUUAUCAACCCUAAGCUCUAAGCUCUGGUCUGCUGGUUGGUGCGCUUUUUUGCUACUCGCUUGCCGCCGAGUAGGUGAUCUUUGAGCUUUCCUGCCAAUCCGUCAUUCGUUGCUGGUGACGGCGUCAAACGCAAACAAGUUUCUUCUCCGGCAGCCUGACCACAAGAUAUGUUGUUUGUUCCUAGCUUUUGUUGUAUGCAUGGUAAUGUCUUUUUUUAGAUAGAAAGCAAGUUUUGUCAUUUCAGGUGCUGGUUAGCAAGCAAUAUGACCGAGGUUUGCUUUGUUUUAGCUCAACUCUAUCCGGUGUUGGUUGUCUUUAUGUGAAGUAAACAUUCUGACCCAACACAGUAUUUAUUACCAUUUUCAUUAGAUUGUGCAUGUUUGGGUUUUCGGUGCGAUUACAGAUUGUAACUGUUCUAGAUUUUGCAAAACCAGAGGGUUGCCAUCUAGUCCAUACACUCCACAAAUGGCUGUGUAAUACUCUCUUCGCCCACUUGUUUGAUGACCAUGAACGCAAAGCUGUCAUAUCUCAUAAAGAGCGUAGAGGUUCAUGAAUGCAAGUGGGUUUGCUGUUGUUGCAAGUGUUGUGUUGCUAGGAGUGAUGCAGGUUUUGUUGCAAUUGCUACAUCAUUUGUAGAUAGCUUUUGUUUAGAAGUUUUGUAGCUUUAGUACUCCAAUUGAGAACUUAUGUAUGAAUUUUGGUAUGUUAUUGUUA